CGUGCCUGCUGUGAAUGGUCGAGAUUUCACAACUCAGUGGACUACUCACAUCCCUGUACCCCUCCUCCACCCCUACAGCACCUGUUCGAUGUCAACGACAUCACUCAGCAAAACGCCUGUCACUCAGUCAGUCUACGGCAUAGCACAGGGCAAAUAUAGAUAUUCCCGAACUUCUGAAAGAGUGUCCAAAAAAACAAGCAGGUUGAGGCAGCAGUGAAUGAGACGGAGAGGGCAGAACAGACAGAAAGUGAAAGUUCAGCAGCAGCGGCAGUUAGCAACACUACAGGCGCUGUAGGUGAUGGAAAGAGACACAAUACAAGACACGGAGACAGAAAAAGAAGAAUAGGUGAUGGAGAGAGACACCAGACAAGACACGGAGACAGCAACAGAAGAAUAGGUGAUGGAGAGAGACACAAUACAAGACACGGAGACAGAAGAAGAAGAAUAGGUGAUGGAGAGAGACACCAGACAAGACACAGAGACAGCAACAGAAGAAUUGGUGAUGGAGAGAGACACCAGACAAGACACAGAGAUGGCAACAGAAGAAUUGGUGAUGGAGAGAGACACCAGACAAGUCACAGAGAUGGCAACAGAAGUAUAGGUGAUGGAGAGAGACACCAGACAAGGCACAGAGACAGCAACAGAAGGAUAGGGCAUGAUGGAGACACCAGAAGAACAAAAACAGGCCAUAUCAGAAGAGGAUAGAAAAAGGAGGCAAACAAGAACCUGAGACAAUAACGUCUUAAUGUUUACAUACUGUUUUAACCACUUCAUAUGUACACUACCAUUCAAAAGAUUGGGGUCACUUAGAAAUGUCCAUUUGUCCAUUAAAAUAACUAUAAAUUUAUCAGA
Long non-coding RNA from Oncorhynchus nerka (sockeye salmon), 852 nucleotides. RefSeq lists it as uncharacterized. The record is from RefSeq and is a predicted model, not a curated record. NCBI's taxonomy places the organism in Eukaryota, Metazoa, Chordata, Actinopteri, Salmoniformes, Salmonidae. The transcript has 2 exons.